Molecule: long non-coding RNA, 1093 nt
Organism: Drosophila sechellia
Lineage: Eukaryota; Metazoa; Arthropoda; Insecta; Diptera; Drosophilidae
Exons: 3
Source: RefSeq, a predicted model, not a curated record
UGGAGUAAAAAGUACAAGAAUAUUUCAAUUAUCUUGAAAGAUGAUGGAAAGGAAAGUACUUCAUAGUUGCCAUACUAGCUUAUGGUAAAAGUGCCGACUCAGUGGUUUCAGAAUGUAUGACAAACAUUGAUUUGGCACUGGAAUACAUUAGUUGUAGACCCGUAAAAGAGCAAUCUAAAAAAUGCGUUCAGCACGGCUAUGGCAAUGAACUUAUCGGAUUGUUAUGACUCUUACUGGCAGCGGGAAGUUCUUAUCCUACCGCAGCUUUUGACGGUUGUUAUUGAUUUAUUGGCUUUAUUGAGGCAUCAUGGCACAACUAAUGGAACUAUAAAAAUUUUCGGAUUGCUGCGAGAUUUGACCUUGAAUGUUGAUGUGUACUUUCAGACGCAUUGAAUAUGCAGGCAGCGAGGCGAAAUUAUUUAACCAUCAACACGUAGUUUACAUAAUUAUCCCUCACUCCAGAAAGGGUUCGGUAUCCCAAGUCACCCCCCUUUCCCAAUCAACGGACCGAAAAAUAUUCAUCAGGUUUUCGAUCAUAUGCAUCAGUCUUCAAAAUUGCGGUUCUACGGUGUUUAUUAGCCACAAUUCACAAUGAAUGAAUCUCACCAAAGUUAAAGAUAGAUGCCAGAAUAUCUAAGAAGCAGCACGCUAAGGAAGAACAUUCGAUGGUGCCAGUUUAUUAACAACACACGAUGUUCGUCAGCCGGCGGACCAGACGUGUCAAGUCAGCACCGACCAAGAAGUGCCUCCAGACUUGUGGCAUGGGUGCUGGUUAGCUGGUUGGCUGGCUGGCUAGCUGGUUAGCUGCCCGGUUGCUGGAGGAGCCAUCUCUGGGCCACUGGCUACUACUACCACGGUGUGAGAUGGCAACUGGUGCCGCUGCAGCCGUCGAAUGCAGUUGUCGUGAUUGCUGGCUCAGAUUGCAUGUGGAAUGCAAAGACCAGAAGCCAAUUUGUUAUUGUGUUGUUUUAUGCCCUCCAGGCUGCUGCUACCGUUUAUUUGCGGCCACAUUUUCCUUUUCUGUUUCGGGCAUACCCUGCACUUCAGUUCGGGCAUCACGCAUACGCUCCAUGGCCUGGCAUUCUAAUUUAAU